RNAcentral lists this ribosomal RNA (253 nucleotides) under uncultured bacterium. RNAcentral's name for it is "partial 16S ribosomal RNA". It matches the Rfam family "Bacterial small subunit ribosomal RNA", at positions 524 to 776 of the family's 1533-position model. The record is from RNAcentral.
UACGGAGGGUGCAAGCGUUGUCCGGAUUGAUUGGGUUUAAAGGGUGCGUAGGCGGCUUUAUAAGUCCGUGGUGAAAGCCAACAGCUCAACUGUUGAACUGCCAUGGAUACUGUCAGGCUUGAGUACAGACGAGGUAGGCGGAAUUGAUGGUGUAGCGGUGAAAUGCAUAGAUACCAUCAAGAACCCCGAUUGCGAAGGCAGCUUACUAGGCUGUAACUGACGCUGAGGCACGAAAGCGUGGGGAGCGAACAGG